This 3170-nucleotide long non-coding RNA is filed under the name Pelobates cultripes (western spadefoot toad). The record is from RNAcentral. Lineage: Eukaryota; Metazoa; Chordata; Amphibia; Anura; Pelobatidae.
GGCACCAUUACCUAUUUUAAUUAGCUUAAUUUCAGUUGCUCUGCGUAUGGUCUAUGGUUCCAUAGCUAAAAUGAACAAUAAUGGUGACAAUUAUCUGGUACCAUUAGACAACAGGAACGUAUCAGAAACAAAGCCUGAUGCAUAUACUUCUGCUGAUGGUCUGCAGUACAGUGCGAAAACCGCAUCAAUAAAAGAGGAAGGCAAAUUCAUCCUGACCAUCACCCCUCUCAGAUAGUCCCAGUGUAUUCUAUCAAAUGCCUUCUCAGCAUCCAAAGACAGACGAAGGAAAGGUGUCUGAUCAAUUUUAAUUUGGUGAAUCAGAUUAAUGAAUCUUCUGGUGCCAUCUGGUGCUUGUCUGCCCAUAACAAAUGCCACCUAGUCAUUGUUAACAAGCGAGGGCACAAGCAUAAAGCCAAUCGGUUUGAUAUUUUAGCAUAUAAUUGUAGAUUAUGCUAGCUUUAGUGUACCUAUAAUCUUAAUUUUAUUAAUGACAGGAGGCGAAUAUUUGCUUGAGUCUCUCUUUACUAGAACUCCACAGCAGCACAGAAAAAACAACCAAUCCGAAAAAAGUAAAGUACUAUAAAACUCCCUUCCUCAUACAUCAUUUCCUCUUUCAAGCUGCGACAAAACAGAACAAAAGGAAGAAAAUAUAAUAGAGAAAAAACAAAGUCCUAGAUACAAUGAAUACAACAACGUCCAUCAUCCGAGAAGAACUGUCAAACCAGCUAGCGUUGAGGGACUGUAAGCUGAAACGAGAGAAAACAGAAUCGAACAGGUUGGUUAGCCAAUGAAAUGUACGCUGAACAACAUGUAAGCACCCAGUGAGAUAACCAGAAAUACCAUAACCUGCAUAGAUCCCAACCUUUACUUAGGAAACACGGACAUAAGAACAAGUGACAGGUAGCAGAGACAAUAAGCAGAGUUGCAUACCUACCUGAUGAACCCAAACUAUAAAAUUUAAACAAGGGAGGGAUAAGAAUGGGAGGGAAAUAUUUGCCUCCUGUCAUUAAUAAAAUUUAUAUUAUAGGUACACUAAAGCUAGCAUAAUCUACAAUUUUAUAACAUGACAGGAGGCUUCAUAUUUGCUGUUUUAACGCUCAGCCAACAAAUCCAACGAUGAUUGUUUCGCUGGUACCGAUUCUGGGAGAAGACUAGAGCAAUCCCAAAUGGACCUUCCAAUAGUGAGAAGUGACAGCAGACGGUCUCUGAAGGUGUCAACUGUCAAUGUACCACCAAUUACGGAAAACACACAAUCCGCUGUUAUAUCCACUGUACGUGGGAUAGUGAUCAGUUUCCUGGAGCACGGUCCAUGAACUGCCAAGUCAAUCAUUAACCAUUUUCCUAUAGGUCUAUCUUCCAAAGAUCAUAUACGGACCUGGAACCGCAGGAGGGAAACUGUCAACCUGUCACGACCCUUGAUGUGGAAGAUGGCUCCUCCGAUCAUGCCAAGGUCACCAGGUGGUGUGACCUUGUCGUCAACCUAUGCAUUUGAGUCCACCAUCAAUUUCGUAACCGAAGGGUCUUCACCCUUCCAAUCAUAUUUAGGUGCACAUAGACCGGUGUCCCUUCAGAUAGUCUGGUAGCAGUGCCUACCUGGACACACACCUGUCUCUGUGACAAUAGUGUAUACUGAGAUACCUCAGUAAUAUUCCCCCAGGCCUGCGGCCAAAGGGGGUUCGAGUUCAGACCCACACCGGUCGAUAAAUAUGGCACAGCCAGAGCGGGCCAAUCGAAUGUGUACAGACAGAGCAGGCCGACCAGGGGCACAGACAGAGCAGGGCGAUCACAGGGGCACAGACAGAGCAGGGCGAUCACAGGGGCACAGACAGAGCAGGGCGAUCACAGGGGCACAGACAGAGCAGGCCGAUCACAGGGACACAGACAGAGCAGGCCGAUCACAUGGGCACAGACAGAGCAGGCCAAAUAUGGGUGGUCUAUUAAAGAGUAAUAAGGGACCUCUGUGUUUGGGAAGAGUCCCAUGACUACCUGUAAAUCCUCAGGGAAUCCUGUGAUACAAAACACUCAGACACCAGCCCCUUUAGACAGUGUAAUACUGUCUGAAUAAACCUUAACAGGAACUGGCUGUCCCUUAAUGCCCAGCAGGCAAAAUAGUGGUAUUCCAGCUGUAGUGGAUAAGCAGUAGUUGGUCCAGUGAUUAUAGUGUCCAUUAACUCAAGAGGUACUGAACCAAUCUUUCCUUAAACUGUGAAUUGCUCUGCACAUGUAUAGAUAGUCAUGUUUGAGAUUUCUUAUUUUUAUUACACCUCAUGAUACCCCCUGAAGGGCAUUGCACCAGUGGUAUAUAUCAUUAAGAGGUGCUAACCAAUGAAAAUGGCUAAUAUAAAGAAAGGCUAAGUCAGGUCUGCAAGGUAUUUAACCUUCCAUUUUAGUUGUGAAUGAUAUAGAAGCUGGAAACUAACCACUGAGCUAUCACUCAAGCUUGUUACCAGCUCAAUAAAACACCUAUUGAGCCUGGAAGGAACCCCUGUCAAACUCUAAUCGGAACAUUAAAUAAUGAGAAGCAAAUAGACCCUAGUGCAAACCAGCAGACUGGAUCUGUAUACGCCCUGUUACAGAGCCAGCGGGACAACAAUAUACCCGAGAUCCGACCUCCGUGGGCGGAGGAGGGGCCGCGAGCAGGUGCACCCUCCUCUAGCCGGUCGGACGCACGCAGCUCUUUGAGGGAGCCAGCCGCGGCGAGGCAGCCACAUGCGAGAAUGGGUCCGGCCGCCGGGUAGUCGCGUCCGUCCGCAAGUACCCCAGAUGCCAGCAGGCUCACACUGGAGCUCGGGGAGCCAGAGGAGGCAGCCAAACGACUAGCCUCCUGAAAGCCCAGGCGAAGCACCCUUGGCCCGCAUGAGGAAAGGGCGGGAAAGUAACAGAAGGGGGCGCCAGAAAGCGGGGUAGCCGAGGGGUCUAAGCCGAGGGGGGUAAAUGCAAAAAGGCAGGGUAAACUGAAAAGGAAACCCCAGGAAGCCCCCAUAAAAACCACCACACUAUAAACAAAACUAUCCCAAAGCAAGCAGGGAAAGCAAAAACCAAAUAUCAAAAAGGGUAGUAGUCCCAAAUAAACUAAAUAUAACUAAUGUAAAUCAUAAAUCAUAAUAAAAUCCCAAACCCACCCACUAGAAGCAGGAGGCAGUGGUACUCUGACCUGUACUGAAUGCAGA